GACGAACGCUGGCGGCGUGCUUAACACAUGCAAGUCGAACGGAAGGGCCCUGCUUUUGUGGGGUGCUCGAGUGGCGAACGGGUGAGUAACACGUGAGUAACCUGCCCUUGACUUUGGGAUAACUUCAGGAAACUGGGGCUAAUACCGGAUAGGAGCUCCUGCUGCAUGGUGGGGGUUGGAAAGUUUCGGCGGUUGGGGAUGGACUCGCGGCUUAUCAGCUUGUUGGUGGGGUAGUGGCUUACCAAGGCUUUGACGGGUAGCCGGCCUGAGAGGGUGACCGGCCACAUUGGGACUGAGAUACGGCCCAGACUCCUACGGGAGGCAGCAGUGGGGAAUAUUGCACAAUGGGCGGAAGCCUGAUGCAGCAACGCCGCGUGCGGGAUGACGGCCUUCGUGUUGUAACCCGCUUUCGCCUGUGACGAAGCGUGAGUGACGGUAAUGGGUAAAGAAGCACCGGCUAACUACGUG
This 468-nucleotide ribosomal RNA is filed under the name uncultured bacterium. RNAcentral's name for it is "partial 16S ribosomal RNA". It matches the Rfam family "Bacterial small subunit ribosomal RNA", at positions 28 to 507 of the family's 1533-position model. The record is from RNAcentral.